This 779-nucleotide ribosomal RNA is filed under the name Pseudoalteromonas carrageenovora. RNAcentral's name for it is "bacterial SSU rRNA". It matches the Rfam family "Bacterial small subunit ribosomal RNA", at positions 331 to 1103 of the family's 1533-position model. Lineage: Bacteria; Pseudomonadati; Pseudomonadota; Gammaproteobacteria; Alteromonadales; Pseudoalteromonadaceae. The record is from RNAcentral.
CCAGACUCCUACGGGAGGCAGCAGUGGGGAAUAUUGCACAAUGGGCGCAAGCCUGAUGCAGCCAUGCCGCGUGUGUGAAGAAGGCCUUCGGGUUGUAAAGCACUUUCAGUCAGGAGGAAAGGUUAGUAGUUAAUACCUGCUAGCUGUGACGUUACUGACAGAAGAAGCACCGGCUAACUCCGUGCCAGCAGCCGCGGUAAUACGGAGGGUGCGAGCGUUAAUCGGAAUUACUGGGCGUAAAGCGUACGCAGGCGGUUUGUUAAGCGAGAUGUGAAAGCCCCGGGCUCAACCUGGGAACUGCAUUUCGAACUGGCAAACUAGAGUGUGAUAGAGGGUGGUAGAAUUUCAGGUGUAGCGGUGAAAUGCGUAGAGAUCUGAAGGAAUACCGAUGGCGAAGGCAGCCACCUGGGUCAACACUGACGCUCAUGUACGAAAGCGUGGGGAGCAAACAGGAUUAGAUACCCUGGUAGUCCACGCCGUAAACGAUGUCUACUAGAAGCUCGGAACCUCGGUUCUGUUUUUCAAAGCUAACGCAUUAAGUAGACCGCCUGGGGAGUACGGCCGCAAGGUUAAAACUCAAAUGAAUUGACGGGGGCCCGCACAAGCGGUGGAGCAUGUGGUUUAAUUCGAUGCAACGCGAAGAACCUUACCUACACUUGACAUACAGAGAACUUACCAGAGAUGGUUUGGUGCCUUCGGGAACUCUGAUACAGGUGCUGCAUGGCUGUCGUCAGCUCGUGUUGUGAGAUGUUGGGUUAAGUCCCGCAACGAGCGCAACC